Neoarius graeffei (lesser salmon catfish) is the source of this 365-nucleotide long non-coding RNA. RefSeq lists it as uncharacterized. The transcript has 3 exons. Lineage: Eukaryota; Metazoa; Chordata; Actinopteri; Siluriformes; Ariidae. The record is from RefSeq and is a predicted model, not a curated record.
GGCGAGGAAACUCUGAGGCUUAGUACGGAGAGGAGACGAGCACGGCUGAACAGCAUCAGCAGGGCUGAUCUAACAGAGGCUAAAACCAAAAUAGCUUGUGUUUGCAGUAAUCAUUUUAUCUCAGUGACUGCAGAGAGUAGAAAAGGAGGGAGAGAGCGAAGAGAGGAUCUACCUCCCAACCCGAGCGAGGGUUGUUUGAAUCGAACAAACCAUGAAACUGAUAAAAGUUUCUUCAGGAUUCCCCGUGAACUAAUAAAAAGGUGAAUGAACGCAGGAUUUCACAAAAAGACGUUAAGAAAGGUGGCUUUUGAACCUCUCACUGAAAUCGAAGGGAGCCGAGUCGAAGCAUGAUCAAGUUUGCAGUG